GGGUGGUUAGCUCAGCGGUAGAGCACUGUCCUCACACGACAGGGGUCACAGGUUCAAAUCCUGUACCACCCACCA
This 75-nucleotide transfer RNA is filed under the name Elusimicrobia bacterium RIFOXYA12_FULL_51_18. Its description in RNAcentral is "tRNA-Val". It matches the Rfam family "tRNA". Rfam says of the family: Transfer RNA (tRNA) molecules are approximately 80 nucleotides in length. Their secondary structure includes four short double-helical elements and three loops (D, anti-codon, and T loops). The record is from RNAcentral. Lineage: Bacteria; Pseudomonadati; Elusimicrobiota. RNAcentral also lists the same sequence under 3 other names.